UUAGGUAAGUUAUUGUACAUGAUGUACAUGUUUGCACUCUAAAGCUAAGCAGGGCUGCACCCAAUCAGUACCUGGAUGGGAGACCACAUGGGAAAGUUAGGUUGCUGCCAGAA
Molecule: ribosomal RNA, 113 nt
Filed under: Danio rerio (zebrafish)
Lineage: Eukaryota; Metazoa; Chordata; Actinopteri; Cypriniformes; Danionidae
Source: RNAcentral